This 253-nucleotide ribosomal RNA is filed under the name uncultured bacterium. RNAcentral describes it as "partial 16S ribosomal RNA". It matches the Rfam family "Bacterial small subunit ribosomal RNA", at positions 524 to 776 of the family's 1533-position model. The record is from RNAcentral.
UACGUAGGGUGCGAGCGUUAAUCGGAAUUACUGGGCGUAAAGUGUGCGCAGGCGGCUUCGCAAGUCGAGUGUGAAAUCCCCGAGCUUAACUUGGGAAUUGCGCUCGAAACUGUGGGUCUCGAGUGUCGGAGAGGAUGGCGGAAUUCCUGGUGUAGAGGUGAAAUUCGUAGAUAUCAGGAGGAACACCGGUGGCGAAGGCGGCCAUCUGGACGACAACUGACGCUGAGAUGCGAAAGCGUGGGGAGCAAACAGG